CUGCCAAUGAAUCUCUAUAUUCGAGUGGAAGUGAGAGAAAAAUGCAGUCAGUAAAGGGCUCUCUAACGUUUGAGCAUCAAUAUUUCACUAUUGUGAUACAUUGUGAACAAGGCAUUAGUGAAUGAUAGGGAAUGAAAUUUAGUAGGAUGGUGAAGGAAGGAUUCACUUAAAUUAGAUUAACACUGGAAUAAUGGCCAAUGACGGGUUUACUCUCUAUGCAUAAAUUAUUGAAUAUAUGUGUAAUGAGAUUAGCAGAUAAUGUACCUGGAGAAGGUCUAAAAGAUUGGAUUGCUGGUUUUCAAUCUGCACAAGUUGAUCACGGAUUAAAGAAAGAUCCUCAAUAUCUUUGUUCUCAAAGAAUUCUUCAUUUGGAUUGUUGGCCUCAACAUCCUUGUUAUAAAAGUUAUCAUCAUCAUUGAAUGGAACCACCCUUGACCCAGAUUUCAGACCACCAAAUUUGUGCUGUUUAUCUUCUCUGACACUACUGCAGAGGACAAGUUUUGUGUCUGGCGUACAUUUCUCCUUGUUUGGAUCCCCUCCUGAUUCAAAAACUCCUGAAUUGCACCUCUUGAUAUCAUCCCCACAGCCCGUGCCUUGUGGUAGAGCAAUUUCAAUUUUCCAGGUGGAGCUUUUCCUGUGGUCCAUUUUACGACACAUAGCUGUCUUUGAAUUGUCAUUGUUAGUCUUUACAGAGUAUUGUUUUCUGGCAGUGGUCACAGACGAAGCAUCCGAUGGAGGGGACCUGUUUGCGGGCACUGUUUUCUUUGGUUGAGGAGAUUUGAUACCAACUUCAUGAGAAUUAUCGGAGGCAGAAGGGGAGCUUUCACCAAUAGCUUUAUCUGUUGAAGAAGAUUUAGAUUGAGAUGAUACUGAAACUUGAUCAGAAACGCCAGGAACUUCCUUCCACAACUCCAAGGUACGAUUCAUAGUCUCCCGAACCGCCUUCACCUUAUCAAAUCUCCUGCUCUCCAGAGAACUCAAGCACGCAACUUUAUGCUCUUUUGACAACUCCUUCUCCGCAAGGGCCACCUUCCCCAAGGCCUCCGCCGCCGCCUUUCUGGUUGCCCAAUCCUCACUGCUCAGAAACUGCAGCAAACAUGGUACUAACCAAUCCAACACGCCCUUACUCGACGCGCCACCAACGCCUACAAUAUUUCCCAUCACGCUCAACAACGCCGCUUUCGCUUUAAAUCCCUCGCCCUUCACCAACUUCCCUAGCCUCGGCAACACCUUCCUCAACUGCUCCGCCUCCGGCUCUGGCGCCGCCUCAAUCGCAGCGGCCAAACACAUGGCCGCACCGAUCUGAGCAUUAAAAUCCUGCUCAAGCGUCAACAACUCAAUAAGCGGCUUCGACAGGGUAGAAAACGGUGGCUUGGUGAUCUGCGACGACAUAGCACUGGUGGCCUCGACGCAGGCGGAUCGGACAGCGGAGUCAGCGUCACGAAGGCGGCGAGUAACGGUGGAGAUCAUUUUGGAGAGGUGGGGAGAAAGCGAGUUGCCGUGGAAGUUGGAGAGAAGAGUCAAGAGGUUGACGCAUUCCUUGCGAACGAGAGACUUGGAAGAGGAAUCGGUGUUGUGAAUGCAGUUAAGGAAAGGGGAGAAGGAGUCGUGGCUGAGGGUCUUAGCGAUAGUCUCCAGCUCGGUGGUGGCGAGAGAGAGAGUGUCGCGGUCGGAGAGCUUAUUGAGAGAGGUGAUGACCCGGUUCUUGAGAUCGUUGACCGUUGAAGGAGGACUAGGUGGAGAUCUUUUCUGAGGAGACAUUGUGAUGAACUCAAAUUUGUGGGUUUGUGUUCGUCUCAGUGGUUGUGCAUUGGCGGUGGCUAUAGCGGCAGUGCCGGUGGCGGGGGAGAUGAUAGUCGUUUGUUAGUUGCAUUUAGUGAGGUGCUUCAAUGGAUAUUUAAAUUUUGAGGAAGGGGCCAAGGGGAUUUGGAAGUCAGCGGAAUUUUUUCCCUCCUAAAAAAAAAU
This 1965-nucleotide unclassified non-coding RNA is filed under the name Hevea brasiliensis (rubber tree). The record is from RNAcentral. Lineage: Eukaryota; Viridiplantae; Streptophyta; Magnoliopsida; Malpighiales; Euphorbiaceae.